UUUCCAGAGAUGGAUUUGUGCCUUCGGGAACUGUGAGACAGGUGCUGCAUGGCUGUCGUCAGCUCGUGUUGUGAAAUGUUGGGUUAAGUCCCGCAACGAGCGCAACCCUUAUCCUUUGUUGCCAGCGAUUAGGUCGGGAACUCAAAGGAGACUGCCAGUGAUAAACUGGAGGAAGGUGGGGAUGACGUCAAGUCAUCAUGGCCCUUACGACCAGGGCUACACACGUGCUACAAUGGCGCAUACAAAGAGAAGCGACCUCGC
This 261-nucleotide ribosomal RNA is filed under the name Salmonella enterica subsp. enterica serovar Haifa. Its description in RNAcentral is "partial 16S ribosomal RNA". It matches the Rfam family "Bacterial small subunit ribosomal RNA", at positions 997 to 1258 of the family's 1533-position model. The record is from RNAcentral. Lineage: Bacteria; Pseudomonadati; Pseudomonadota; Gammaproteobacteria; Enterobacterales; Enterobacteriaceae. RNAcentral also lists the same sequence under 1 other name.